RNAcentral lists this ribosomal RNA (253 nucleotides) under uncultured bacterium. Its description in RNAcentral is "partial 16S ribosomal RNA". It matches the Rfam family "Bacterial small subunit ribosomal RNA", at positions 524 to 776 of the family's 1533-position model. The record is from RNAcentral.
UACGAAGGGGGCGAGCGUUGUUCGGAUUUACUGGGCGUAAAGGGCGCGCAGGCGGCUUUGUUUGUCAGGCGUGAAAGCCCCGGGCUUAACCUGGGAACUGCGUUUGAUACGGCAGGGCUAGAGUUCGGGAGAGGAGAGUGGAAUUCCCAGUGUAGAGGUGAAAUUCGUAGAUAUCGGGAGGAACACCGGUGGCGAAGGCGGCGAUCUGGGUCGAUACUGACGCUGAGGUGCGAAAGCGUGGGGAGCAAACAGG